Molecule: ribosomal RNA, 485 nt
Filed under: uncultured Actinomycetes bacterium
Lineage: Bacteria; Bacillati; Actinomycetota; Actinomycetes
Description: bacterial SSU rRNA
Rfam family: Bacterial small subunit ribosomal RNA
Source: RNAcentral
GAGUUUGAUCCUGGCUCAGGACGAACGCUGGCGGCGUGCUUAACACAUGCAAGUGGUGCGACGAACCAGGGCUUGCCUGGGGCAAAGCCGCGAACGGGUGAGUAACACGUGAGUAACCUGCCCCGAUGACCGGGACAACCCGAGGAAACUCGGACUAAUACCGGAUGUGGCGCACAGGCAUAAGCCUGUUCGCUAAAGGAAGCUUCGGCCUCCGCAUUGGGAGGGGCUCGCGGCCCAUUAGCUUGUUGGUGGGGUCAAGGCCUACCAAGGCGACGACGGGUAGCUGGUCUGAGAGGAUGGCCAGCCACAUUGGGACUGAGACACGGCCCAGACUCCUACGGGAGGCAGCAGUGGGGAAUCUUGCGCAAUGGUCGAAAGACUGACGCAGCGACGCCGCGUGAGGGAGGAAGCUCUUCGGGGUGUAAACCUCUGUUGCCCGGGACGAAUGCUGGAAUUCAUUCCAGUUGACGGUACCGGGUGAGGAA